GUAGAUGCUCAUUCCAUCUCUUAUGCUCGCCUUUUGGCCUCAUAAACUCAGGAAUGAUGCAGAGCCGUUUACGGUGCUUAUCGUCCACUGACAGAUGUCGCUUACGCCUCAUCAAACACCCUGGACACAACGUUGAGUGAAGCACCCCCUUUAUGUUGUCAUACAGACCUGUUUUGACGCCUGCCCCUUAACCGGGCAGGCGUUUUUUU
Salmonella enterica subsp. arizonae is the source of this 209-nucleotide small RNA. It matches the Rfam family "GlmZ RNA activator of glmS mRNA". Rfam says of the family: This RNA was discovered in E. coli during a large scale screen. The record is from Rfam. NCBI's taxonomy places the organism in Bacteria, Pseudomonadati, Pseudomonadota, Gammaproteobacteria, Enterobacterales, Enterobacteriaceae.